GACCAGGCCAAGCAGGACCAGCCAAAUAAGGACUUGUUUUUCACAAGGAGCAGAAGGCGGAAACCGGCACCAUCCCUGGGGCGCGGGACCUCGCAGCUCCCUACAGUUAGGAUUGGGAAUUACAUGCGAGACAGAAAGCUCUAGACCUAGGUAGCUACCCAGAGCUUACCGAGCAAGGAGACAGGUCAGGAGAGACAAAAGCCACGUCAGGGGAAGUGGGAGAUUCCUCCUCAGUGGGUACUUAAAGGUGAGGUGUAAGGUGAGAGAGGCUGGAAGAAGCGAAGUCAGAGGGUAGGGGGCGAAACCAAGGAAGAGAAAGGGGCAGGAAAGAUGGAGCCGUAGCUCUGUUCUGGACAUUUGCACCUGAGGGACCCACUGAAGAACCGGGCUGAGGUAGAAGGAAGCUCAAAGAGGCAGGAAUACAGAACUAGGAACCCGGGUAGAACAAGAAACGGAUAUAAGAAGAAACAAUGCCAUUUCUACAGAAGUGUUCAUAAACCCUUCACGUGGCUUUACAAAUGACCAGGAAGUAGGAUUUCUCCUUUCUCUUUCCGAAAAGCGUAAAUAGUGUUUCUAUUUAUAGGAGUGAAGUGACUGGUGGAGCGUGAAGAAGGGCGUGGAAGGUGAACUUCACUGAGAAGGGACCUUGACAGAAACAUCACUAUUUUCCUGAAGCUGGAGGAUGACUUUCAAGAAGCAAUAUGGUGUAACAGGAGUUGGAGCCCUUUGCCGGUAGACCAAUUCGAUGAACUGAGUUUAUUUACUGAGUUUCUACUCUGAAGAAGUCACCUUGAUAGGUGCUGGGAACGACAGAUGGCAAAACACACCCAGCUAGACUCAUGGAGGUCUCGCUGUAGCUGCAAGACAGCUGUCAUUCAACUGAGCUCACCAAUCAGAAAUGCAGUGCUGUUUAAUAUACAGAGACAUCUGGCAGUCAGAUGACCCAACUGGGAGGCUGGCUUAGAAAAAAACGUGAAUGGCUUCCCUGGGAUUGGAAGUUGGCCUGAUGUAAGAAUAAUGAC
RNAcentral lists this small RNA (1022 nucleotides) under Rattus norvegicus (Norway rat). RNAcentral's name for it is "uncharacterized LOC108353040". Lineage: Eukaryota; Metazoa; Chordata; Mammalia; Rodentia; Muridae. The record is from RNAcentral.